RNAcentral lists this ribosomal RNA (535 nucleotides) under Salmonella enterica. Its description in RNAcentral is "partial 23S ribosomal RNA". It matches the Rfam family "Bacterial large subunit ribosomal RNA", at positions 711 to 1243 of the family's 2925-position model. Lineage: Bacteria; Pseudomonadati; Pseudomonadota; Gammaproteobacteria; Enterobacterales; Enterobacteriaceae. The record is from RNAcentral. RNAcentral also lists the same sequence under 2 other names.
AGACCCGAAACCCGGUGAUCUAGCCAUGGGCAGGUUGAAGGUUGGGUAACACUAACUGGAGGACCGAACCGACUAAUGUUGAAAAAUUAGCGGAUGACCUGUGGCUGGGGGUGAAAGGCCAAUCAAACCGGGAGAUAGCUGGUUCUCCCCGAAAGCUAUUUAGGUAGCGCCUCGUGAAUUCAUCUCCGGGGGUAGAGCACUGUUUCGGCUAGGGGGCCAUCCCGGCUUACCAACCCGAUGCAAACUGCGAAUACCGGAGAAUGUUAUCACGGGAGACACACGGCGGGUGCUAACGUCCGUCGUGAAGAGGGAAACAACCCAGACCGCCAGCUAAGGUCCCAAAGUCAUGGUUAAGUGGGAAACGAUGUGGGAAGGCCCAGACAGCCAGGAUGUUGGCUUAGAAGCAGCCAUCAUUUAAAGAAAGCGUAAUAGCUCACUGGUCGAGUCGGCCUGCGCGGAAGAUGUAACGGGGCUAAACCAUGCACCGAAGCUGCGGCAGCGACGCUUAUGCGUUGUUGGGUAGGGGAGCGUUCUG